GUGACUAGUACAUUUGAACCUACUAAUAACCUAUUUAUCUGUGGUUGCGUAACUUCGUUGUUGUGUAGUGCAAACUAUUUUAUUUUUGCUGGUGUAAAGAUCACGGGUCCUCCUCAACUCGGCACUUCAUUACUUGAAGUUUACCAAAGGAACCCUAUCUCUGGCUGGCCUGAGUUCCUCCUUCGUCUGCGGAGUGUCUUGUCCAAGCUGCUCCUUUUUGCUCUUCGCCUGGCUGUCAGUGGCAGCUCAACAAUCAACACCCAAUCUACUCACACGCGCAAACACUCACAUUCAGACUCAUACAUACACGCUGUCUCUCUCUUUUACCUUCGUUGGCCUAUAAUUUAUUUUUAAAAAUGUCCGAGAAAAUAACAGUUUUCGUGGUAUUGCUUUGUGCACUGACUUUACUGAACUCUGGAGAAAACGAACAUUGUCGCUGGAAUGGAAACCAUGCAGAGGUGCCUUGACUGGGCUAGGGGGAGGCUGCUAAAUGUUGCUUCAGCAGAUGAUCUAAUUGAUCAAGUACCUCAGUUCAUUCAGGAGAUUCGUUCAUCUGGCUGGCAUGCACAACAAGUGCGUCUCAUGGCAAAUAUUCUACAUGUGUCCUGAUCAACACUCAAACAUUGUCUAAGACACUUCAAUAUGUCAAAUGCACCGUUAUAUUCUGACAUGUCAGACUUGGCUCUGGAUGAAAAGAUUAAGGACUUGGUGGCUGUGAAUGACAAACUUGGACCGGAAGCUGUUCGAGCACAAUUAGGGGCAUUGGGAAUCCAAUGUGAGGGACAGCAUGAUUCGUGUUAACCCGAGGGCAGCUGCCCUCAGAGCCAUGUCGCAGAGGCUACAUAGAAGGUCAUAACGUGUUGCUGGACAAAACUCGUUAUGGCACCUUGAUGGAAACCUCAAACUGAUAAGGUAGAUGUAUCUUUGUGAUCGACACAAUUAUCUAUAUCACUGGUGAGAAGUUGUACAUUGUAACAUCUCAAAUUGUUCAUCAACUUGUUCAUCAACAACUAGUUCAGUUUAGCAAGCAAUGGCCCAAUAUAUCAAUCAUGUGGAUAAUAAUUAUUUUGUGUUUCUGCCACUUCUGUGAUCAAUAGAAUAUCUGCAUCAUGAAAUUAACAAACAUGCCUAUAUUGAGGACAUACUGAGGCAAAAAAAACUGUUGGAACAAAGUAUUUGUGCCUAAGUGUGAACAACAGGAGAGUCUGUCCUCCUCACUCAUUAACUUGAUUCAUUAACAUUGUUCCACAUUUUGGAUGUUAAUUUAAUAUCAGGUCUGCUGCUUUGUUAUAUACUGCAGGAACCUGAUGCAGCAUCUAAGUGGUAAAGGAGGAUGGUGAUGUUUGUAUAUUUCAUGUGUUCAGCUUUUGUAUCAACCAGUGCUGUGUUUUCUGAUUUAGGUGGAGGAUAGUUAUACAUGGUGGCAUUGAUGGGUACAGCUGCCUUGUUGUGUUUCUUUGUGCUUCCAGCAACAAUCGCAGCAGUACUGUAAUGGAUUGCUUCAUGAAUGCUGUCUCCAGAUAUGGCGUUCCCUCCAGAGUUCGGACGGACCAUGGAGGAGAAAACAACACUGUCUGCUUGUUGAAUGCUAUACUUGUGGCAGCACCUAUUCCUGUGACACCGCUUCUUAUGGCCCCCCUCCACCUAUACCACUUCCUGUGGCCUCCCCUCCACCAUUCCCUGAGGCUUAUCGUCCACCACACUCUUCUGUUGAUGUUGGUGAUGACAAUGAUGUUGACCGCCAAACACUGAAGUUAAUGAGAUGCCAACCAAAUUAACAUGAUGAGGGACAACGUUUAUGAUUGUGCAAUGAGAGGCUUUAAGAGAGCCCACUUUAAUCCGGAGGCAAAAAUAGACAUGGUUUAGGGAUGCUGACGGAAAAGGGGUAGCUGAUGAGGGUGGUUCCUCAAGAAAAAUUAUCUGGCUGCUAAUGAGUGCCAUCCAUUCCUCUGCAAUAUUUGAGGGACCUGAUUGACAAAAAAGGCCUUUCUUGCAACUCUCAAGCAACAUGGGGGUGUAGAGCCACAUUUUUUCAGAGGCUAUACAGACAAGUGUGUGACCUACAACCUCCUGUGCCAGAACUGAAAGAAAUUGCGGAAUAUGACUUCAGAGAGAAGUUGGAGAAGAUUAAAAGAGGGUCUGGAGUGUAUGUCUCAUGCCUUACAUGAAUAGACACAAGCCUCUUCAGAGGUUUUCAUCUACGCUGAGAAACCUCUUUUCAAAGCAGAGCGCUCCCCACCUGGUACCAAUCAAAGAGCAAUAAAGAGAGAAGAGUCAUAUGUUUCUGGAGGGACUGACUUCUGGAGGUGGAAGGGGGAACACAUACCCUUUAACCAUGGAGAAGAUUUUCAUUUUCACUUCGGGGGCUUCAGCAUUCCUAGGCUGGGAUUGCCAGUGGAGCCACAGCUACAGUUCUCUGCAACCGCACGGCAAGCUGUACCGGAGCACCAAGUCUAGGUCCAAGAGGCUUCUAAACAGAUUCUACCCCCAAGCCAUAAGACUACUGAACAUCUAAUCAAAUGGCUACCCAGACUAUUUGCUGAUACUCUAUCUAUGCAUAGUCACUACAAUAUCUCUACUGUUGCGCCCUGACCAUAAAGAGACAUUGUUUCUCUAUGGUGAAGUAAGUCAGGGUGUGACUGGGGGUGAUCUAGUUCAUUUAUUUCUGUGGUGUUCAAGUUUAUUUUCCAUGGUGGUGAUUUGUAUGAUUCCCAAUUAGAGGCAGCUGGUAAUCGUUGUCUCUAAUUGGGGAUCAUAUUUAAGUAGUUUUUCCCACCUGUGUUUGUGGGAUAUUAUUUUGUGCAUCACUUAGUCACGUUUCUUUAAUGUUUUGCUUAAGUUUCACUUAGAAAUAAAGACGUGGAACUUG
Long non-coding RNA from Oncorhynchus kisutch (coho salmon), 2869 nucleotides. RefSeq lists it as uncharacterized. The transcript has 9 exons. The record is from RefSeq and is a predicted model, not a curated record. NCBI's taxonomy places the organism in Eukaryota, Metazoa, Chordata, Actinopteri, Salmoniformes, Salmonidae.